GGUUGUUCACAAGCUGCUCACAUCACCAGGUAACAUCAGUUGUACUUAAUGGCAUUGCAACACACCCUCAGUCAGAACGUUUCCAUGACACUUGAGAAAACUGAAUUAGUGCCUUACUCCAAUUAAGACCGGACACCUGCACUGCAUGUAGACACCUUUGUCCAACUCCGACGAAGACACCCAGAUAAUGCAAUUGGAAAUUGAUUUUCUCUAUCAUGUAACCAGUGUAGUCGGAGUACUAUUGGACAAUGCAUGUGUGCUUGCGCAUGCGCCAUGCCGCCGUAACCCCAAAACAAAAACACCAGAGAAGAGGAGUAGCGUGCACCUUAUCUGCAGAAAAAGUAGCACGUACAUUAAGUACGACAAAACCACAAGUACGAUUUACCAUCUUCUUGUGCAAAAAUGCCCAGCAGCAGUUGUAGCCACUUCUGAUGUCUGGCACGGACCUGCUGUUGUUGUUGGGGCAACCAGAGACAGCGCCACUGAAAAGACCCAUUUCGCCCCCUAGUUUUGGGGAGGAGGACACGGUCAUGUCAAUAAUUUGAUUUUCUCAGCUGCAUGUAUACACGGACAAGGAGAGAAGUCCGAUUUGGCGAGAAAAAAAAAAGAGCUUAGUCUGAUUAAGCUGUACAUGUAAACACACUGACUGUUAGCCUCUCAUAUUGCUGUUGAGUAUUUUGUGUGUUUUUCUUUUUCUCUGGUUAAUUUGUGCACUUUUUAUGCAUUAACCACCUCGUCACUUCAGUCUUUGUGAUUUUUUUAGCUUAAUUAUCUGAUCAGCCCAAGAUGAUAUCAUUGGUCAAUACCUCCACCAGUAUUACCACUCCACUGGGGAUACAUUUUGCUACAGCCGAGGGUAGACAACCCCCGAUCGCCUUAUCACCCUGUAGAGUUGAAGAGCCAAUAAAUCUCUCGUAAUAAUUCUAUAACAAAUCUGUGAGAAAAAUAUACACUACCAUGCAAAAUUAAAGCCGCUGGCAUCAUUGGACCUGAGCGACAUCUUUUUCAGGGGUGUCCUUGCUGAUUUCAGGGAGACAAUGACAACUAUAUUCUGCAUGUGAUACAACAGGCUUCGUAGUGAAAGAGCGCAGGCAGGCUGGUCUAAUCUCCCUCUAUAAAUGUGUGGUCCAUUAUGAAGCAAGAAUGGGAAAGAAUUUCACCUCCAAACAUUCAACAAUUCGUGUCCUCAGUUCCCACAGGCUUAUUGAGUGUCUUUAAAAGGAAAGGUGAUGUAAACAGGCUCUUGUGCCAGCUUUUUAGGAGUGUGUGGCAGGCAUGAAACUCAAAAUGAGUGAAUAUUAGCAAAAAGCCCUGAAGUUUAUCAGUUUGAACAUUUAUAUCUUAUCUUUGUAGUAUUCAAUUAAAUGGUUUGAGGAGGAUUUGCAAAUUGUUGUAUUCUCUAUUAUUCACAUUUACGCUAUGUCUCAGCUUUGGAAUUGUGGUUUAUGGGUGAAUAUGUAAAAUAGUUUACUUUAAGACCUCUUUGGCUAAUUGGACUUUAUUGUAUUAAACCCAGAGGCCUUUCUUUGUUUUCCCCGCCUCAUUUAUCUCACUUUGGGUGGGCUAAAUGAGGGUAAUUAAUAGAAACACCUUUAUGUACAAUGCAGCACAGCUCAGCUGCAUAAAUCCCACCACACAGAAGGAUCAGUACAACACAUCUUCAAAGUUUUUGUUUCACACUUUCAAAAAGGUGAAAGCAACAUAUACUAAUUAUGCAACCAGGUGAUUUGCAGAAAGGUUCCAAUCACUGUAAGAAAUCAUCUCUUAGCAAAGAAACUUUCUUCAUACAAAGUCAUACAAUAACUGGAUUCCAAUGCAAUAAAUUAUAAUUUUGACAUGUAUUUGAUACUCCUAUUUCUUUGAGAACAGGUGCCGUCCUGUUUUAGAGAGGCUGCUUAAGAACAUGUGUGUGUUAUAUUGCACAUAUUUGGCAAAAAUCUGGCUGAUUUAAGCCUGAUAGUAUAUUGAGUGAACUUUUCUGUGUUGUAGCCUACAUGUAACCCCCUUCAUGCAAAUUCUACAUGAACUGUUGGUUAAAACCUUUAUAAGGAAAGAACCAUAUAUACUGUAUAGCAAGCAUUGUUACCUUCAUUAAAGAGGAAUAACUAAUCCAGGACUAUUGGAAAAUUAUGCUCAUUUCAGAUUUUGUUAAUGCCAGCGACAGAUUUCUAAAAAGUUAUAGCAGGUAUUUUUACUGUUCUGUCACAUCGCCUCUCCUUUCAGCAACACUCUGUAAAUAUCUGGGAACCCAGGAGACCAGUGUGUGAAGUAUGAGUGAAAUGUUGUCCUUUUGAUUUUUUUGUGUCAGGUGCUCCAAAUGUUUUCAAUGGAUGACAUGUCAGGAUAGCAGGCAGGCCCGUUUAGCACCCAGACUCUUGCACUUUGCCAUGCUGUUGUCAUAAGUGCAGAAUGUAGUAUGGCAUCUCCUUACUGUAUUAUUCAAGGUCUUUCCACAAAAAAGCAUUGUCUGGAUGGUGGGACAUUUUACUCCAAAACCUGAAUAAGUAGUUCAUCAUUUAUAGAGCUUUUCUGGAUAAGUCAUGCCGAGGGUGCUUAUAUAUCCUCAUACCAUCAGGGUGCUGGCUUUCAAACUGGCUUUAACAAUAUACUCAAAUCAAUUUAUCAAAAAUUUUCAAGUGUUAUUAGUGGUCAUAGUUGUGAAUCUGAAGUUUUUAGCCAAAAUCACAUUACCUGUGUCAUUAAGGGCUUUUCUUCUGCAGAGCUCCAGUCACUCAUUAGCUAUUCGCCUCUGGGUCGUGGGCAGAAACAGUGCUGCUCUGCCCACUCCUCUUCACGCUAGCUUGUAGCCUAACUUUAGGUAAAGUAACAUCGGAGCUAUCCGGCUCUCUGACAUUAACAUCUUCAGGUGCAUGUUGAAUGCUAAUAACAUAAUUCGCUUUCUUACGAGCAUUGCAAUCCGCUACUGCACACACUUGUUCCACCAUCGUCCUCUCUACUUCUCAGAGUCUGGCCUGAGAGCGGGGUGCUGGGGGGGGAGCAGAGAUUUGUGAUGUAAAUAUCCCUCUGUGUCUGAAUCUGCUGUUUGGGUCUGCAGGAGGUUUACAGUGAGUUGAACACAGAAAUUCUCAAAAAUGCAAUUUUCCACUUUGCUUUGUCUUGAUGUGCAUCUUCAGUUGCAGGCAUUUCUGGAUCAUUCCUACAUGGUUUCCCCUUUGUGUUGUACAGGUUUAACCUGAAUAUGUUGAUGCAGUGACAAACUGUGUUCACAGAACUCAAGGCCUGAUUUAUGAUAAAGACCAUCCAGUACCAGUCAUCAGCCGUGUCACAUUUGUAAAGAGAUUUCUCCAGAUUAUCUGAAUAUUUUAGUAAUAAUCUUUUCUUAAAAGGAUUGAAUUCUCCAUUUUUGGAUAAUUUUAGUCUUAGGACUAUUAAUGUGGAGUGGCUGAACUAUAACCUCAUCCUGUUCCCUGCAGAGUGUGAAUCUUUGCUUCCUUGCUCUAUAUUUGAUGACUUUGCACUCUUUUCAAUCCAAUUAAAUUUUAUUCAGGCCUGAAAGAUUUGCAAACUAUUAAAUUUCGAUUUUAGCCCCAAAUU
Molecule: non-coding RNA, 3555 nt
Organism: Xyrichtys novacula (pearly razorfish)
Lineage: Eukaryota; Metazoa; Chordata; Actinopteri; Labriformes; Labridae
Source: the annotation of a GenBank genome assembly